AUGGAGGGCGGAAGUUCGCGACGCGAGGCUGUCACCGCCGACCGGCGGAACAGGGCCAUCGCCAAGAAGGCCCGCGACAAUGCGGCGCGCGCGGCUGCGGCUGCCUCAUCGGCGGACCAGGCGGGGAUGAUGAAUCCACCCGGUAGCCACGCCCAGUACGCGCCCUGGGGACAGCAAGGCGUCGGUUCUCCGCAGCCAUGGGGAUCGCCCUCGCCGGGCUACGCCGACGGGGACGCGCACGGUGGGUUCAACCCAAACAUGACCUUCCUCAUGGACACCCGGCCCAGCGCACACCCUCGCCCCGCCUUCGCCGGCGUGCAGUACCCUCCAUACAACUACUCGCCGCCCGCCUACGCGUCCUCACCGACGCCCCCUUUCUGCCGUGGCCCGCUGCCCUUCUCGCACCUCGGCAACACCGACGAGACCGAAGCCGACAUGGACGACAUCAUCGCAACAGGUUCGGCCGCGGCCGCCAUGUCUCCCGGGUUCGUCACCCAGGACGAGACGGUGGAUCUCAGCGGCGGCAUGGACGGCGAGCUCGGCUACGUCUAUGGCGAGGACGAGCAGGAGGCGCAGGAGGACGAGGAGGAGGAGGAGGAGGAGGAGGAGGAGCCGGCGCCUGUUCCGACGAAGGGGCGCAAGAAGAAGAAGCAGGCGGCCAGGCCAGGCGAGCCGCGCAUCAAGUGGGCGUCCAAGGAGGAGGAAUGCCUCGCCGAAGCAUGGAAAGUCGUCUGCCUCAACCCGACCACCGGCACGAACCAGAGCUUCGAGACGUACUGGGACCGCAUCAAGGCCGAGUUCGACGAGCGGAAACUCGUCAACCCCUACUUCAAAGGCGUCAACAUGCAGCGCGGCUCCAAGGCGAUGGCGAACCAUUAG
RNAcentral lists this ribosomal RNA (879 nucleotides) under Triticum aestivum (bread wheat). Its description in RNAcentral is "partial small subunit ribosomal RNA". Lineage: Eukaryota; Viridiplantae; Streptophyta; Magnoliopsida; Poales; Poaceae. The record is from RNAcentral.